Cercocebus atys (sooty mangabey) is the source of this 2752-nucleotide long non-coding RNA. RefSeq lists it as uncharacterized. Lineage: Eukaryota; Metazoa; Chordata; Mammalia; Primates; Cercopithecidae. The record is from RefSeq and is a predicted model, not a curated record. The transcript has 3 exons.
AAUAGGCUUGUUAGAGAAUAACAUUUUUGUAUUAUAAAUUGAAUACAAGUUCAUAGUUUAAAAAAAGGUAAACAAAAGGGUUAUACAGUGAAUUUUCUACCCACCCCAUGUCUCCAAAUCAACCGUUGUUAGUCUCUUGUGAAUCCUUCUAGUAAAGCUAUAGCAUUGUUUGACCUGUAUGCAUGUAUAUGUAUAUUUAAAGACAGAAGAUGAGCAUACUGCUACCUUGCCUUUAAAAAAAAAUUAUUUUAUUUCUUUAUUUGGAUAUUGCCUUUUAAAAUUACUGUCUUGGAAAACUUUCCACAGCAGUACAUGUGGAUUUACCAAAUUAUUUUUAGUGACUGUAUAGAAUGAUAGAUAAUUAUUUAUUGACCAAGUUCCUUAUUAAGGACAUUUAGAUUGUUUCUAUCCUAUCAUUAGCAUAAACACAGCAAUGAACACCCCUCUGUGUAUGUCUAGUCUAUGUGUACAAUUAUAUCUGUAGGAUAAGAUAUUGUAGGUGGAAUUGCUAGAUUGAAGGGUGUGUGUCUUUUCAGUUUUGAUAGAGAUUGCCACAUUGUCCCCGAAAAAGUUCUAUUAAUUUUCCUCCCACCCAAGAGUUUAUAGGGGUUCUUUUUUCUCUGCAUUUCACCUCCUUAAUGAAAAAUGGCAACAUUUUCUUUUGAACAGUCUUGUCUUCAUGUAAAAUGUGACUAAGGUCUACUUUUUAAACAGCUAUCUCCACCUGAAUAUUACUCCCCUCAUAAGUCAUCACUUCAAGAGACUAUCCAUUUACCCUAACAGUGUCAUUGCUUAGAAUAUUUUUUAGAAUGCCUAUUCUAGAACUACAUUAAGGUGGUGUGAAUGUAAAAUUUAAAAAAAAUCUCUAUAGCGUUCAACUUUCUUUCCAUGAAAAGGAAUUUGAUAUAUAUAUUAUUUAAACAGCUGAAAGUCCAUUGAAUUAUGAGAGGGUUGAUUUGCUAGGGUUAUGUUAUUCUAGUGUAUGACGCUAACAACAACACAACCUGGCUUUUGUUACUAAUAAACAUAGCUGUGACGGCAGCUGCAGAAGAGAAACUAGUUGUUUGAAGCUAUUGCAGCAUAAUUGGAAUAAUUAUCAAUCAUCAGAGUCUACACAAAGGAAAUAUUCAUUUGGGAAGAGGCACCUUCCCGUGAAAAGUCUCUACUAAGGGCAUCCUCAUCUCUCAGCUUCGUAACUGAAGGGCUAUGCAGAACUACCUCAGAGGGGCUUGCAAUUUGGGUGAUGAAAUUGCUUUUAGCUAAAUAUAUUUUGUAAAUUUAAAAAAUAUUAAGCCUGCCUGUUCAGACCCAAACUUAAUGCCCAUUAGUGUUAUGUUGCCCUUCUACCUCCAGAAUACCCUAAAACCUCAUUUUUCAAAUGAUUUUUGUGUAGAUUUACUUUGCACACCAUCCCUGAUUCCAAAACCUUCAGCACAGAUGGAAGCUCUGUUCUACAAAGAAAAAUGACAUCUUUCCUUGGGGAAGAAUAUGUCCCUUCCUACUUGUCACUGCUGCCAUGUUAGAAGUGUCUUUCACCUCCUGCCAUGAUUCUGAGGCCUCUCCAGUCAUGUGGCACUAACAGCUUAUUGAGGUGUACAUACUGCUAUGGACUGAAUUGUGUCCUCCAGAGUCCAUUUGUUAACGUCUUAGCUCCCAGCAUCUCAGGAUGUCAGCGCACUUGGAGACAGAGCCUUUAAAGAGGCAAUUAAGUUAAAAUGAAGCCAUUUGGUAGGCCUUAUCCCAGUAAGACUGGUGUCUUGAUAAGAGGAGGAAAAGAGGAGAAUCACGCAGAGGGUCACAACCAGGAGUGCAGCACAGAGAAAAGGCCACGUGAGGACACAGCAAGAAGGCGGCCAUCUGCAUGCCAAGGAGAGAGACUUCAGGAGAAACCAAACCGGCUCGCACCUUGAUCCUGGACUUCCAGCCUCCAGAACCAGAGAAAAUACGUGUCUAUGGUCUAGCCACCUAGUCUGUGCUAUUUUGUUAUGGCAGCCCAAGCAAAUGAAUACAGAUUUUUUUCAAUUUACUCAUUGUAAGUGUACAGUUCAAUAGUAUUUAGUAAAUUUAUUGCACAACCAUCACCACGAUCUAGCUUUAAAAAGUUCCAUUGAGCUGGCUGGUCUGCAGUCAAUCCAUUCCCACUCCCAGCUCUAGGCAACCACUGAUCUGCUCUGUGUCUCCACAGAUUUUCCCUUUCUAGAAAUUUCAUACAGAUGGACUGAUACAAUAUAUGGUCUUUUGGGUCUGACUUCUUUUAUUUAGCAUAAUUUUUUUUCAGGUUUAUCCAUAUUGCAGCUUGUAUCAGUCAUUUGUUCCUUUUUACUGCCGAAAAGUAUUUCAUUGUGUGGGAUGAAUUACAUUUUUUGCAUUCCUCACUAGUUGAUGUACAUGUGAAUUGUUUCCAGUUUGGGGCUACUAUGAAUUAUGCCCUAAGAGCUUCUGUAUAUAUGUCUUUGUGUGAAAAUCAUUCUCUUUGCAGAUUCUAUUUUCAUUUAGAUUAGAUUAUACAUGUUUUUAAUUAUUUUUAAAUGAAUUUUUAAAUUACAAAAUAUAAUCAGAAAGAAAUGCCAGCAUCCUGGGAAUAGGGAUGUUGUUUUGUUCACUGCUGUGUUUCCAGUCCCUAAGUGUCUGGCUGAAAAAAAAAACAAACAAACUGUGGAAUAAAUGUAUGUAACACACCAAGUAACUGUAUUCAGAGUCUCACUCUAUCAUCCAAGCUGGAGUGUAGUGGCACUAUCAGGGCUCACUGCUG